Molecule: ribosomal RNA, 254 nt
Filed under: uncultured bacterium
Lineage: Bacteria
Description: partial 16S ribosomal RNA
Rfam family: Bacterial small subunit ribosomal RNA
Source: RNAcentral
UACGUAGGGUGCGAGCGUUGUCCGGAAUUAUUGGGCGUAAAGAGCUCGUAGGCGGUCUGUCGCGUCGAUCGUGAAAACUUGGGGCUUAACCCUGAGCUUGCGGUCGAUACGGGCAUGACUGGAGUUCGGCAGGGGAGACUGGAAUUCCUGGUGUAGCGGUGAAAUGCGUAGAUAUCAAGAGGAACACCUGCGGCGAAGGCGGGUUGCUGGGCCGACACUGACGCUGAGGCGCGAAAGCUAGGGGAGCGAACGGG